CCCUUAGAUGUCCUGGGCCGCACGCGCGCUACACUGACAUGUUCAACAAGUUUCUCCUAGUUCGACAGGACUGGGAAAUCUUUGAACGCAUGUCGUGAUAGGGAUAGAUCAUUGCAAUUAUUGAUCUUGAACGAGGAAUUCCUAGUAAACGCGAGUCAUCAGCUCGCAUUGAUUACGUCCCUGCCCUUUGUACACACCGUCCGUCGCACCUACCGAUUGAAUGUUUCGGUGAAGAUUCCGGAUAGGACUGAUUUGAUUUAUUUCAUUUCUGACCUAAAAGCUAUCUAAACCUCAACAUUUAGAGGAAGGUGAAGUCGUAACA
RNAcentral lists this ribosomal RNA (322 nucleotides) under uncultured eukaryote. RNAcentral describes it as "partial 18S ribosomal RNA". It matches the Rfam family "Eukaryotic small subunit ribosomal RNA", at positions 1470 to 1796 of the family's 1831-position model. The record is from RNAcentral.